UACCAAAGGAUAAUAGUAUUCCACUGGUCUUAGGCACCAAAAUCCUUGGUGCAU
Molecule: transfer RNA, 54 nt
Filed under: Rhadinaea forbesi
Lineage: Eukaryota; Metazoa; Chordata; Lepidosauria; Squamata; Dipsadidae
Description: partial tRNA-Leu
Source: RNAcentral